UUAUCUGGUCAAGCGAAUGAUUAGAGGUCUUGGGGCUAAAUGAUCUCAACCUAUUCUCAAACUUUAAAUGGGUAA
This 75-nucleotide non-coding RNA is filed under the name Monodelphis domestica (gray short-tailed opossum). RNAcentral describes it as "Eukaryotic large subunit ribosomal RNA". It matches the Rfam family "Eukaryotic large subunit ribosomal RNA", at positions 1001 to 1076 of the family's 3401-position model. Lineage: Eukaryota; Metazoa; Chordata; Mammalia; Didelphimorphia; Didelphidae. The record is from Rfam by way of RNAcentral.